GUCUACGGCCAAACCACCCUAAACGCACCCCAUCUCAUCUGAUUUCGGAAGCUAAGCAGAGUCGGGCCUGGUUAGUACCUGGAUAAGAGAAAGGUUACUGGGAGAGGUGCGUAUGGUUCUGUCCUCC
Molecule: non-coding RNA, 127 nt
Organism: Erinaceus europaeus (western European hedgehog)
Lineage: Eukaryota; Metazoa; Chordata; Mammalia; Eulipotyphla; Erinaceidae
Source: Rfam